GACGAACGCUGGCGACAUGCCUAAUACAUGCAAGUAGAACGCUGACGGCGGAGCUUGCUUCUCUGGAUGAGUUGCACACGGGUGAGUAACGCGUAGGUAACCUGCCUGUUAGCGUGGGAUAACUAUUGGAAGCGAUAGCUAAUACCGCUUAAUAGUAGAUGUUGCAUGACAUUUCCUAAAACGGUGCAAUUGCAUCACUACCAGAUGGACCUGCGUUGUAGUAGCUAGUUGGUGGGGUAACGGCUCACCAAGGCGACGAUACCGAGCCGACCUGAGAGGGGGAUCGACCACACCGGGACUGGGACACGGCCCAGACUCCUACGGGAGGCAGCAGUAGGGAAUCUGCGGAAAUGGACGGAAGUCUGACCGAGCAACGCCGCGUGAGUGAAGAAGGUUUUCGGAUCGUAAAGCUCUGUUGUAAGAGAAGAACGAGUGUGAGAGUGGAAAGUUCACACUGUGACGGUACCUUACCAGAAAGAGACGGCUAACUACGUG
RNAcentral lists this ribosomal RNA (495 nucleotides) under uncultured bacterium. RNAcentral describes it as "partial 16S ribosomal RNA". It matches the Rfam family "Bacterial small subunit ribosomal RNA", at positions 28 to 507 of the family's 1533-position model. The record is from RNAcentral.